GAGGAUAUAGCUCAGUGUUAGAGCAUGUGUUUAGCAUGCAUGAGGUCCUGGGUUCAAUCCCCAGUACUUCCA
This 72-nucleotide transfer RNA is filed under the name Camelus bactrianus (Bactrian camel). It matches the Rfam family "tRNA". Rfam says of the family: Transfer RNA (tRNA) molecules are approximately 80 nucleotides in length. Lineage: Eukaryota; Metazoa; Chordata; Mammalia; Artiodactyla; Camelidae. RNAcentral also lists the same sequence under 2 other names. The record is from Rfam by way of RNAcentral.